GGUGCACAUGAUGACACUGUUCAGCAAUCAAAGUCUGACAGAAAUGACUGCUACUUCAUUGUGUGACACACC
This 72-nucleotide small nucleolar RNA is filed under the name Jaculus jaculus (lesser Egyptian jerboa). The record is from RNAcentral. Lineage: Eukaryota; Metazoa; Chordata; Mammalia; Rodentia; Dipodidae.